Molecule: non-coding RNA, 8190 nt
Organism: Podarcis lilfordi (Lilford's wall lizard)
Lineage: Eukaryota; Metazoa; Chordata; Lepidosauria; Squamata; Lacertidae
Source: the annotation of a GenBank genome assembly
CUUGUUCUAAUUCGGCUGCUGGGAGAGAGAAAAGUCCCCAUUGGUCAAGCUGGGACGGGCAGAGCAAGGGAUGGGCUUUGCAUGCGGGGCAGUUAGACAAAGGAGGGAAAGGAAAGUAGGUAAGCGGUUGGGGGGCUUAAGUGGGGGGAAGGGGAAGAAAAUGGAGAGGAAAAGGUGGGAAUGGCUGCAUGCGAGGCCAGAAAAGAGUGGGAAAGGGGUUAGAAGAGAGGGGCAGGCGGGUAGUUUGCCUUCCCUGAAAUGGGCUAUUAUUAUUAUUAUUAUUAUUAUUAUUAUUAAUUCUUAUAUACCUUCAUUCAUUCCCCACUCCUCUGGCUGGGUUUCCCAUGCAACUUUAUUCUUCUUAUCAUAAGUUGAACUUGUUAAGUCGCUUUUAUCUUGCAAUCCAGAGUGACUCGCAAAACCUGGAGUGCAAAAUCUGGAGCCAGGGCAUUUUGGAGAGAAAAAGAGGAUAUGGCUGCAUGUGGAGCCAGAAAAGAGGGAGAGGGUUUAGAAGAGAAUGGGAUGAUGAUAAUAAUAAUAAUAAUAAUAACAACAACAACUUUUAUUUAUUUAUACCCCACCCAUAAUAAUAAUAAUAAUAAUAAUAAUAAUAAUAAUAAUAAUUGUAUUUAUACCCUGCCCCUCUUGCAACAACAACGAUAACAACUUUUAUUUAUUUAUACCCCACCCAUAAUAAUAAUAAUAAUAAUUGUAUUUAUACCCUGCCCCUCUUGCAACAACAACAAUAACAACUUUUAUUUAUUUAUACCCCACCCAUAAUAAUAAUAAUAAUAAUAAUUGUAUUUAUACCCUGCCCCUCUUGCUGGAUUUCCCAUGUAACUUUAUUCUUCUUACCAUUUGUUAAACUUGUUAAGUCGCUUUUUAUCUUGCAAUCCAGAGAGUGACUCACAAAACCGGGUGCAGAAAACCUGCCUUGCGUGGGGUUGGUCUAGAUGACCCCCGGGGGUCCCCUUCCCAUGACUGCAAUCCCGCGACCCCCUAUGGGGGUGGGGAAAGUGUGGUUUUCUGCUUGGUUCUGUGCAAUUAACUCCAAACGGUAAUUUCUUGUGAGCCGCCCUGUGAUUUUAGGAUGAAGGGUGGUAUAUAUAUAAAUCCAAGAAACAAAAAAUGAUGUCAAACCAUUGUUUUGUCCCAUAAACCAGCCAAGGUAGGGGCAAAAGCUGUGUUUUGCAGUGUUGCUCUUGCCAAACCGCAGUUUGCCUUCCAAGUUAAAUUGUUAUUUACCGUAUUUUUCGCUCUAUAAGACGCACCAGACCACAAGACGCACCUAGUUUUUGGAGGAGGAAAACAAGAAAAAAAAAUAUAUUCUGAAUCUCAGAAGCCAGAACAGAAAAGAGGGAUCGCUGUGCAGUGAAAUCAGCAAUCCCUCUUGCUGUUCUGGCUUCUGGGAUAGCUGCGCAGCCUGCAUUCGCUCCAUAAGAUGCACACACAUUUCCCCUUACUUUUUUAGGAGGGAAAAAGGGAGUCUUUAUAGAGCAAAAAAUACGGUAUUUGAUUCGUACACCGCCUUUCAAACCUGAGAUCACAAGGCGGAUCUCAACAUAAACAAAAAACAGAAACGGGAAAUGCAUUGAAGAAGGACAACAAACCAAUAAUCUAACCCCAUGCCCUCUUCUCCCAGUCGGUUGCCUUUUAAAAUUUAAAAAAUAAAAUGGCAGUUGCAUCUCCCUCCCCGGCAGCCGUUUUGGGACAGAACAGCACAAAAUGGAUGCAAUGAAGCCGUUGUUCCUGCCAGCCCAAAAUCCCCAGUAGUGACAAUGGUCACCAUGCAGGGGGGAUAAAAAUCAAUGAUUAUUAUUUUUUUAAAGGGGAAAAAAAUUCAGAUUUUUUUUUAUUUAAAUCAGAUUUUUUUUUUAUUUAUUUAAAUUGGAUUUUUAAAAUAAAAUUCUUUUGGAGGAAAAAUCUUUCCAAAGAUAGUUUUCUAUUUAAGUCACAUUAUAGUCCAAAGGCUAUAAUGAAAAGAAGGGUUUAAGUUUUUCAUGGGUGCUAAAACUCAGUCUGAGGGGUGUUUUUUUAAAAAAAAAAAAAAAUUAACCACAUCAGUUAACAAACGUGGAUACAUAUGCUGUGAUGUUAUUGUUUUAAUUAAAUAAAUUGUUCUCAAGGAAAGGAUUAUUUUCCCCCUUCUGAUAAAGUGCCGCAGAAAAGUUGUCCAAAUAUAAACAGUUAACUUAUUAAACCUCACGAUAAUUUCAUAAUUAUGUCUAUGUAUUUCUAAUAGUAUAACCAAAUCAGUAUUUAAAAAAAAUAUAACUGUAAAAACUACUCUGAAAGUUUAGUAUUCCAAUAAUGAAACGAUCAUCUGGUUGUAAAUAUUAAGAUUAUACCAGCAAGAAUGAGUCUUUAUGUAAAAGAAUGAUUUAAAUCAAGUCUUACUGACUAGUGAUUUAAAUCGAUUUGAUUUAAAUCAAAUCUACCCUGUGGCCCACAAUACUUUCUCAAAUGGGACCACGAACCCCACAAUUAUUAUUAUUGGGGCUCUUUGCAGUUGCCAUAUGAGUUUGUUCAUUUGUUCAGCCUUUAUGGGCAUAAUUUAAGACCAAAAAAAAAUGCAAAAGGGACAGAAAACAAGCGAACCAUCCAUAAAACAUUCACAAUCCAGACAUAUUAAACACAUAAAAUAUAAAAGAAUUUGUCAGCAGAAUAGGGAGGACACUCGGGAGAGCAGGCCAUUUUAAAAAGGGAGUCACAGGAAAAUUUAUUAGAUAUUAGAUAUUAGAUAUAUAACUCCUAAAAUCUCAGGAUAAAAACAGAAAGACUCAUUCUUGCUGGUAUAAUCUUAAUAUUUACAACCAGAUGAAGGUUUCAUUCCCCAGAGUGGCUGGGGAAACCCAGCCAGAUGGGUGGGGUAUAAAUAACAUUAUUAUUAUUAUUAUUAUUAUUAUUAUUAUUGAAUAAUAAAUUUUCAGAAUAGUUUUUACAGUUAUAUCAAAAAAAUACUGAUUUGGUUAUACUGUUAGAAAAACAAAGACAGGUAAUUAGGAAAUUAUUGUUUAUAUUUGGACAACUUUUCUGCUUUACUUUAUUGGAAGGAGAACAAUAAUCAUUUCCUUGAGAACAAUUUAAACAAUUUAUUUAACUAAAGCAAUAACAUUAUAGCAUAUGCAUCCAUGUUUGUUAACUGAUGUGGUUAAACGUUUUGUUUUUUUAAAAAAACAACGUAGACGUGAGUUUUAGCACACAUGAAAAACUUAAAACAAAUCCUUAUUUCCUGAUGAAUAGCCUUUGGACUGUAAUGUAACUUAAAUAGAAAACUAUCUUUAGAAAGACUUUUCCUCAAAAAGCGUUUUAUUUUAAAAAUAUGAUUUAAAUUAAAAAAAUAUGUUUGUUUGUUUUUUUAAAUCAUUGGUUUUUAUCCACCCUGAUGGUAAACUUUACAUUGCGGAGAACACUUUCUUCUCCCUGAUACCUAGUUUUCUGUGUACAGGGAUAUUAUUGAUAAUAAUUAAUGGGGAAAGGGAAAUAAGUCAUGUCGACCCAAACCAGACACACUUUGUUUUAAAGUUUAAAAAUAACAUGAUUUUUACUUGCUGUACUUGGCUCUGGUCUGACUGAAUGCACAAGAGAGGCAUGCAAUAUUUACAUUACUGAAACAUAUUUACAUGAAGUUGUAUCCGAGACCGACUAAUAUUUACAGGCUGGCUCUGCGGCAGCAACACUUGCUGCUCUCACAGUUAAAACUCACUUCGAAUGUAAAAGACUUUAGCCUGAAAAAAGGAGACAUUUUUGUAAACCAAGAAAACUUUUAAUAAAAAUGAUUAUUAUUACUUUUUAAAAAACAAAAAACCUCACACAACAGUUGAAUGUAAAAGAGUCUGCAGCCUGAAAAAAAGAGACAACGCCUGUGCUUUUGUAAACCAAAAUAAUAUUUAAUAAAAAAUACUGUUAUUAUUACUACUUUAAAAAAAACAACAACCUCACAACAGUUGAAUGUACAAGACUGCAGCCUGGAAAAAAAGAGACAACACAUGUACUCUUGUAAACUAAGAUAAUCUUUAAUAAUAAUAAAAAAUACUGUUGUUAUUAUUAUUACUUAAUUUUUUGAAAGAAACCUCACAGCAGUUGAAUGUAAAAGACUGCAGCCUAACAAAAAAAGAGACAAUGCAUGUGCUUUUGUAAACCAUGAAAAUCUUUAAUAAAAAAUACUGUUAAUAUUAUUUUUUUAAAAAACCCCUCACACAACAGUUGAAUGUAAAAGAAGAGUGCAGCCUGAAAAAAGAGACAACGCCUGUACUUUUGUAAACCAAGAAAAUCUUUAAUAAAAAAAUAAUUAUUUAUAAAAACCCUCACACAACAGUCGAUAACAACUAACGAAAAAAACCUGACUCAGUUUAUGUCCCCCCAACAUUUUAUGCUACAGCAUUAACCCUUUCCGUAGUAUUUUGAAUGCACCAUUGUCACAGAUUUUGCCACCGCCAGGCAUUUGUUGGUCAUGGGCAGUGAAGCGCAUUGAUUGAAUUCUCUUAGGGCAUAUCUAGCAAAUACUUUAGAAAAUAUUCUGAGCUUCCCAAAGAAUAUUGGAAUAUUUGAGAUAAGGCUACAUUUUAAUAUUUUAAUGUUGUAUUUUAAUUUUGUUUUUAAGUUGUAAUCAUUCAACUUGUUUUUAUUAUUGCUUGUUAGCCGCCCUGAGCCUGGCCUUGGCUGGGUAGGGCAGGGUAUAAAUAUAAAUUAUUAUUAUUAUUAAAGAGUCUCUCGUUGACUUCCGCUUCCUGGUCUCUACUUUCCCCAAUAUUUUAAUCUAUCCGUCUCCGUCCCAUGGAUGCAAAGCAGUCCGUUUUAUCCCGAUGCGCUUCGUCGGCUGUCGCACCCAUUGAUUUGCGGGAAAUUUGGCCGCGACCUUGACUUUCUGCGUAACGCAAGACAAUAAUCUGAUGUGACAAUUAUUGGCAAGUCUUCGAAAGGCUCUUAAGACAAGAAAUGUGCUUGGCUCCCAUUGCCACCCCCUUGUAAUAUUACUUAGCAGAAUCAACCAGUGGCAUUUAAAUUACGAGCUAUGUGUUAAGGUUAAAUAAACGGAUGGGCAAGCGAUCGUUUUAAAAUGAAAGGUGCUGAUUUUCGGGAGACGAGCCAUCUGUGAAACAUUCAGGUGGGAAAUACUUCUUUGUGGCUUACUGACCUUAUAGCACUAAGCAAGGGAAGGAGAAGGAAACUUGCUUAAUAUAGAAAAGGUGCACGACAGAAGCAAUUGUCCUAAUGUGCAUCUGAUAUAGGAGGAAAUUAGCAGCUGGCCAGAGGUUAGUCAAUCAAGUGUACAUUCAAAGGACUGUCAACCAAGCAGCAGUGUCAGGUGGGAGAUUUUAGUCAAUGAAAGGUUGAGCCAUCUAUAGAGCACCCAAAGGGUGGAAACGAAGUUCUGUAAAUUAGACUUGUCUCUCAAAAGUGGCAAUCAAAAGCUAGACUUCAACUCCCUUCCUUAAAAAUGUUUCAGGACUGAAGCAAAUCCGCGUUUGAUGUAUCUUUUAUCAUUUCUAUGAUUUAUUUAUAUAUUGGAUUAUUCCGAGAAGGACUGAAAGGAUUUGAUCUCUCCUGUUGGCAGGAAAAUGAAUUAAUAAAUUAUAGCCCACUUAACUGGAAAUCAUCUGUCUCCUGUCCAAUUUCCAACGGAAUUAGCCUCCCUGCUUUGACUACUCAAAGUUUUUCUCUCAUAUGUGUGUGUGACGUUACUGGUGUUCUGGAAGAACUUUCCUUUUUACUGACCAAAAGGAACCUAGCCAAUUAGAUAGCUUCUAUGUGCUAGAUUUUUUUUUAAUGCAAAUUUAAUUAAGUUUUUAAAUGUUUAAACUUAAUUGAUCACCAAGUGAUCAGCGUCACACCAUUGGCCCUAUUGAUGUUUUGAGUUUUUAACAGUGUAAUCUAAUGUAAGCCUCAUUGGGCUUACUUCCAGGUAGGUUUGUAUAAAAGUUGGUAUGUCACCAGCAUACCUCCAUUUGACUUAAAAUGAAUUACUACAAGGCAAUAUUGAAUGGCCGUGGUUGGGCAAAACAUCCUUAUCAGGGAUAGCUUACGUGGCGUCCGCCAGAUGCUACGGUUUCCAUCGUCUUGCCCAAUUCUGACUGGAGCUAAUGGGAAUUUUUAGUCCCAAUAAAAACUGGAGGAAGACACCACAUCUACCUCUGAAAGCUAUUAUGUAUUUUAUUAUAUUUUUUAAUUAGACACUGCUGGAAUCCACUGGCUGAAACAUGAUGAUAUGUCCUCCAUUGUGACAACUCCUACUGCUGGUUUUACCGCCAGGAAAAUGUGGUAAGAGCAACUCUUUCAGGUGAGCAAAGGGAGAGGGGACGGGUUAUUGUGCAACAGGAAAUUGUUGGAUUAUUUAGAAUGUGCACGUACAUCAUUAUAUUUAGCUUACACAUCAGGAAAGAGUUGAACAGUUUUGAGUGCUCCGACAUUUUUUAUUUUAGAUUACAGAUUUUACAGUAAAUAAUUAGUUUUUAAUACCUGUAGCUCUGUGUUCUGUCCCUGUCCAAUCUGGAAAUGAGGUAGCCAAUGUUUAUAAGUUUGCCAAUUAGAGGAAAUCUUGAGACAGGAAAGUUUGACACUCAUGCCAGGAAUGAGGUGUAUUCUUAAUUCAAUUGGCCUUGAAUUAUGAGUAGACUUACUUCUGAAUAGACAUGUUUGGAAUUGAAUCCUGCGUUGGUAAGACUCUUCAGUGCAACUGAACUGGGCCUCUUGAUGGGCCACUAAAUACUUUAUUUACUUUGAAAAGACUCCCCUUGUAUCACAUAAACACAGCACAACAAGACAACGACCUAUCCCCCAAACAGCAUACAAAUCAAUAUGGCUAAUCUGACGCAACAACCUGCCCCUGCCACCCUGCUGCCCCUCACACACGCACACAAAUCACAAUGCAACCAACCGAACACAACCAGCUAUGGUCUGGACUCUCCAGUCUCUCGCAGAGCUAAUAAAAGUGAAUAAACGAACUGUGGAAAAGACUAUGAACUAAAAGAGGAGUCACUGUAUGUACUUUUCCUUGUUUAUUUGUUUUGUAACAAGAAAAUCUUUAAUAAAAAACUUUUUUUAAAAAAAAGAAAGAAAAGACUAUUCAAAAAACAAACACCAUGCAAAGCAGCAGGGAACACUUCAGAGUGAAAUCACACAGUCAACACAACACAACACAAUACUUAACAGCCUGUUGUAUUUGUAUCUAGACUUCAGCAGAGGGGAGCCAAUUCUGCUUCCGCGAAUGCAUGAUGGCCCCAGACAUUGCUAACUUCACACCCCCAUGUGUUUGUAACGAUUUUGAACCCUAGGGGACCAUUCCUCCCCAAUCAGGGAUGGAACUAAUCUGUUAUUUCGAAAUAAUCUAUUUUUCAAAAGAUUGCUCUCAAGGCCGGUUUAAAUACAUGAAGCGAAACGGCUUCUCUUGAAGGCUCUUUUGACAGGACGCCUUCAGUCGGUCCAGCUCCUUGCUGCCCUCUCCACAAGAUGCUCAUGGCAGCAAUUUCAGUUGUCAUCUGCCCCAUAUUCAGUGAAGCAAUAUAGUGUGUGAAGACAACCCAGUCCAAUUUAUCUUCUGCCCAUUCUGUCCUAGGUUUAAAAUCUCUUUUUUGACCUGUUGUCGCAACCCUAAAGUCCAUCCCCUCAUCUACCAGGAGGAGGAGGCACAGAUCCGGGUGCCUCCAGAACAAAGGGGCGGAUGGUAUCUGCUCUGUUUCAUCACGUGACAAAUGACCGGCACCGAUGGGAAAUUGUUGCGGUGACAGAGAAUCGGGGUCUUUGGGAAAGAAGCAGGCAGGUCGCCGAUUCAAGAAGACUUGAGUAGCGUCCCUUUUGAAGAAGAAAAAUCAUCUUGUCUCUUCUCUCUGAUUCAUUUAGCCACUUGAUUCUGCCAUUAAUUUCUCAGUCAAGAAGCCUAACCAGCAAAGGCAUCGUGUCAUUACCACCUUCCUUGCUGCUACUGAAGUGAAAACGUAGCGCCGAGUCAGAUUGGUGCUUUAGUUAGAGCAGGGCCCACCAGUUUAGCACCGAUGGGUGUGCAUGUAUUUGCAGAGACUUUCCACUGAAAUUAGGCUUGAAACAAGCGUUUCUGGGUAGCAAAUAGAAUAGGUUGCGGUGUGUGGACAUCCUUGCUUUAUGAUGUAGUGCCCACAUCUAUAAAAAGAAAACUAUUGUAACCACUAGUUUGUGACAUUUUGGUUGAUCCUAAUAAAGGUAUUUAUAAACUUA